CCCCUCUUAGCUCAGUUGGAAGAGCGUCAGACUGUAACGGGAUACCAGCUCAUCUGAAUGUCGCCUGUUCGAACCAGGCAGAGGGGA
RNAcentral lists this transfer RNA (87 nucleotides) under Schizophyllum amplum. RNAcentral describes it as "Auriculariopsis ampla tRNA". It matches the Rfam family "tRNA". Rfam says of the family: Transfer RNA (tRNA) molecules are approximately 80 nucleotides in length. Their secondary structure includes four short double-helical elements and three loops (D, anti-codon, and T loops). Further hydrogen bonds mediate the characteristic L-shaped molecular structure. tRNAs have two regions of fundamental functional importance: the anti-codon, which is responsible for specific mRNA codon recognition, and the 3' end, to which the tRNAs corresponding amino acid is attached (by aminoacyl-tRNA synthetases). tRNAs cope with the degeneracy of the genetic code in two manners: having more than one tRNA (with a specific anti-codon) for a particular amino acid; and 'wobble' base-pairing, i.e. permitting non-standard base-pairing at the 3rd anti-codon position. The record is from Rfam by way of RNAcentral. Lineage: Eukaryota; Fungi; Basidiomycota; Agaricomycetes; Agaricales; Schizophyllaceae.